AACGAACGCUGGCGGCAUGCCUAACACAUGCAAGUCGAACGAGACCUUCGGGUCUAGUGGCGCACGGGUGCGUAACGCGUGGGAACCUGCCCUUAGGUUCGGAAUAACUCCCCGAAAGGGGUGCUAAUACCGGAUAAUGUCUUCGGACCAAAGAUUUAUCGCCUUUGGAUGGGGCCGCGUUGGAUUAGCUAGUUGGUAGGGUAAAAGCCUACCAAGGCGACGAUCCAUAGCUGGUCGGAGAGGAUGAUCAGCCACACUGGGACUGAGACACGGCCCAGACUCCUACGGGAGGGAGCAGUAGGGAAUAUUGGACGAGGGGCGAAAGCCUGAUCCAGCAAUGCCGCGUGAGUGAUGAAGGCCUUAGGGUUGUAAAGCUCUUUUAGCCGGGAUGAGAAUGACAGUACCGGGAGAAUAAGCUCCGGCUAACUACGUG
Molecule: ribosomal RNA, 433 nt
Filed under: uncultured bacterium
Lineage: Bacteria
Description: partial 16S ribosomal RNA
Rfam family: Bacterial small subunit ribosomal RNA
Source: RNAcentral